RNAcentral lists this ribosomal RNA (79 nucleotides) under Photorhabdus luminescens subsp. mexicana. Its description in RNAcentral is "Photorhabdus sp. MEX47-22 partial 23S ribosomal RNA". The record is from RNAcentral. Lineage: Bacteria; Pseudomonadati; Pseudomonadota; Gammaproteobacteria; Enterobacterales; Morganellaceae.
GGGUUGUGAGGUUAAGCGACUAAGCGUACACGGUGGAUGCCUAGGCAGUCAGAGGCGAUGAAGGACGUGCUAAUCUGCG